CAGUCGCCACGGUAACACGUAGGGUGCGAGCGUUGUCCGGAAUUAUUGGGCGUAAAGGGCUCGUAGGCGGUUUGUCGCGUCGGGAGUGAAAACACUGGGCUUAACCGAGUGCUUGCUUUCGAUACGGGCAGACUAGAGGCAUUCAGGGGAGAACGGAAUUCCUGGUGUAGCGGUGAAAUGCGCAGAUAUCAGGAGGAACACCGGUGGCGAAGGCGGUUCUCUGGGAAUGUCCUGACGCUGAGGAGCGAAAGUGUGGGGAGCGAACAGGAUUAGAUACCCGAGUAGUCCCUGUCUCUUAUAU
This 301-nucleotide ribosomal RNA is filed under the name uncultured bacterium. Its description in RNAcentral is "partial 16S ribosomal RNA". It matches the Rfam family "Bacterial small subunit ribosomal RNA", at positions 509 to 809 of the family's 1533-position model. The record is from RNAcentral.